Molecule: long non-coding RNA, 3501 nt
Organism: Sorghum bicolor (sorghum)
Lineage: Eukaryota; Viridiplantae; Streptophyta; Magnoliopsida; Poales; Poaceae
Exons: 3
Source: RefSeq, a predicted model, not a curated record
ACAACACACCCACGUGAGCCUGCCACCCUACAGCACCCACCAAUCCAACACCCCACCUCGUCGUCUCCCCCCCUCUCACCUGCUGGCCAUUUCAAAAUCUCUCUCCUCCUUUACACCAUAGAACUUGCGGUUCACCUCCUAGAUACGGCGGCACGUUUCCUUCCUCUCCGACGGUUUGCCGAGCAUGGUGGCCUCCUCUCCGGCUCCUCCCUGAUGGUGCCUCUCCCUCGACCGCGGCGGCCCCACACCCCUAGCGUAUGCAUCACAUCCAGAGGCUAGGGAGCAUCUGUGAUGAUGCAGCAUCCUAUCCUCGACUCCAUCGAUGGUGGCGCCCCCUCCCGUCCUCGACUUCACCGGCAGGGGCGCACCCGUCCUCUCACGAAGAUGAGCCACCAUAGCAGCCGGUGACAUCCUGAGGAAGCAGAUCCAGGCGGCCCGGCCAGCGAGCUCGGCAACUGUAGCGAUGGGGUGUGGCCAGGCCCGCACGCUCGGUGGCUCCUUCCCCGAUGCCCUCCCCUCACCGAUGGUAGCAGAUGGAGUGUUCAGCGGCUGGCUAUGUGCUUGGAUGACGGACGAUGGCGUCGUAGCGGCUGCAGGGAUGGCUCGUAUACAUAUAUUAUCGUGUCAUGGCUUUAAGCUCUUCCAGGCCAUGAGCGCCGAGCCCCGGACCCCUUCCCCAACAUCUCCGGCAAUGUCAACAGCACCGGCACCUCUUUCUUAGUGACCAUGGUCCCCAUCCCCCAUCUCCAGCAAAGGCACCCUCCCACAUCUUCAGCAAGCAUGGUUUUCUGUAUAAUAUUGAUGCGUCCAUUUAGAAACAUUAUUUUUUGUCUGCGUACAUAAAUUUAUAUGCAUACUAAUUAUGAUUUGGUAAUCUGACUAAAUAAAAUAUUUAUUUAUGAUGGUUUGUGCUUAUUCUUGAUUUAAUGUGAAUGCAACUCAAAUCUUUCCCUGCGAAUUUAUUUUUGUCCUUCCAUACAUAAGGUUCUAUGCAUAACAAUUAUGACUUGACAAUCUGACUAAAUAAAUAAUGGUUUUCACAUAUUGUUUUCAUGUACUUUGAUUUUUUAUUUCUAUACUUCUUGAGCCAACCGUGUAAUUAAGAAAUCAUAUGGAAUUCUAUACAUUGUUAGAGCACAUUUUAUACAUUGUUGGAACAUAAUUUUAUACAUUUAUAUAUUGUUGGAACUCAAUUUUAUAUGUCUUAUGCUUUUCAAUUUUCUAGUAUUUGCAUCAAUGUGAGUUUCUAUUCUAGCAUUAGUGAGUUUCUAUGCAUACAUUCAAUUUUAUUUGAUAAGAGGCUAAAAUUGCCUGUUUUUUUUUGUGAAACUACAUAUAUGAGCGUAGUGCCAAUUGGCGGUGGCGGAUGGGGGCGUGGACAACGGUAAUGGCAUGGCGCGGUCAAGGAUGUCUUCCACGGAUCCACUUUUGAUUUUUUAUACUUCUUGAGACACAGUUUCCAUGCCAUGGAUUUUUGUGUUUUGAUUCAAUUUAGUGUCUAUGCAUUAUUCCUCUAUUAAUUGUAUGUCCCCAAAGGGACAAAAUGGUUUGGGUUGUGUUUUUCACGGUUUUUGGAUAAAUAAAUCUCCUACAUAGGAGGGUUUUAUUAGGUUCUAUACAUUGUUUCUCUAUUAAUUAUACAUCCACAUAAGUAGGAGGAAAAGGAAAAGUUUAUGUUAGGACCAUAAUUCAUUUUUGUGCAUAUUUUAUACGUUGUUGGGUGGGUGCGGCCAGCUAGUCGAGGGAAUAGGUGAAUUUUUUAUGAACGUGAAUUAUGUUUUUUGCUGUAUAAAAAUAUUUGUCACUGGGACUAUUUAGUACUACGUCUCCCAAAAUGAAUUUUGUUGAAUCGGAUGGCUCAUGUCCGUGGUCUGAUUAUUUAUGCCGUGACGUGUGGAGGGAUGAGAAUUUCUGACCAUUAUUUUCUCUAAGUUGCACUUUCAGCUCAUGUUGGAAAUAUGUUUUUGCGCACGCUAAAAACAUGUUUCUAUGCUAUUCUAUAUGCCUUUCAUGCCACUAUAAGGUUUCUAUACAUGCUAAAACAUGUUUCUAUAUGUUAUAAAAACACAUGUUUCUAUGUUGUUUCUUCCUCACAGAUGUUAGUUUUGUUCAAAAAAAUAUUUUUUGCUUUUCUUUGGUUACUAUGUUUACAUGCAUAAUUUUUAGUUUUGAUUUGUUGUGUUUUUUGGCCAGCAAAUCAGAAAAACAAUUUUCCUCUUGUUGUUCCUACUAGUACUGUCUAGUAGUAAAAAAUAUAUAUGUCUGCUAUGCAUGCCUAAUGAAAAGUCUAUGGAGAUUGCUUGCUUCUUGUUUCUUCUAGUGGUAAAGUUUCUAUGCAGUUCAGGGUUGUUGGUUUUGCAAGUAAAUUUGGUCAUCCGUAUGUCUGUGAUUUGAAUAUAAAUUGUGAAUUAGAUUAUUUGCAAGGAUGUCAGUCAUCUAUGUUUCUUUCCCCUGCAAGCAGGUUUCUAUGCAUGGUAAAACUAUGAUUUCAAAGAUGUUGGACGAGCACUGUGCUUAGUUGCAUAGAUUUCCACACAAAUUGAAUUCAUACUCAUUGUUUUGUUUGUUGAUUUUGUGUUCUUAUAAUUGUAUGCAUAAGUUUCUAUACAUAGCUAAACUGUAACUUGCUAUAUAUUGAUGGUAUACAAUUCUACACAUUAUUGAUUUAUAAUUCUAUACAUUGUUAGAGCAGUUUUUAUGUGGUAAAAAAUAACUUUUAUUCACCGAAAUACUAAUUUCUAUGCAAUGCGAUAAAAACAUUUAUGUGCAUAUUGACUACUAAUUCUAUGGUGUGAGUAUGAGUAGUAAUGGUGUUGCUGUAAUCGGCCCCCAUACUAUGAAGCAUGAUGUUAUAGAGAAUAAUGAUUGUGUCAGGCGGAAUAUCCCAUCUUGUGGAGAGGUUUUUACGCAUCAAUAAAAAUUAUUGUUAUUUAUUCAACUACUAAUUUAUAUGCAAUGUAGCACUAAAAAUCUUUAUGUGCAUCUUGACUAUUGAUUCCAUGUACCUAAUCGGUAAUGGUUUUUGUGCGCCAUUGUAAGGGUUUUUGUGCACCAUUGUAAGGGUUUUUGUGCCUGCUCAAAACAUGUUUCUAUGUCUUUGUUGUGGUGUAGGAUGGUCGAAAGGAUUCCUCUAUUUGGUGUGAGGUCAAUGGUGGCUCGUCAUAGGACAUGGCUUGCGACAUUCGCAACUUCCUUGGCUUGUGACAAUGGCGUAGUUUGAUAUUCGAUAUAGUUGAUAGGUUAAUGUAAAAAGUUAGUUUUUCAUAUGUUGUGGUUAUAUACUUGGAUGAUACGGGUGAAACUAUUGGUUUUUAUGUAACCUCUGUUGGGUUUCAAUUUUUGGUUGACUUAGUGUCUAUGGAUAUUAUGAGUUGGGAACAUUAUGGAUAGUCCACAUCUAAUGUGUAGUGUUUUGUAUGUUUUAUUCUCCUAGAGGGAAUUAUGGUGUAAGGUUUCUAUACAUUGUUUCUCUAUUAAAUAAACAUAUCCUGGUGCAAAAAA